CAAGUUUCUCUGCUAACAUCAUGAGAGAACUGAGCUAUGAGCUAUUCAGUGGUUACUUACAUCAUUCUUGUGUUUCCAGCCCUGUGACUUGACCGCAAGGCUUUCAGAAGUGAUCCAGUUUCUGCCUGGUGUUAACCAUCACCACACUCAAGUCUUCCCAGCUGAGGAUCUGUUUCCUCCCAUUCAGCUGAACGACGCCCAACUGAGGAGAAGUUCCUCUGUCUGGUUCAAUGCCUGGUCACAGAGUUUUCCUGGCACAAAUGAGUGGAAAGAGCACUUUGGCCUGGAUGGGAAAUGUGCAGCGGAGGGUGAAAGGUGUCUUGGCAGACACUUCCAAUUUGUGUCCUUAUCUCACAGUCUCCAGCAUCUUCAAAGGCUUUUUCGGCUUCUUGUGUUUUGCAAGUUCAAACCCCUGCACCCCACUGGUCUUGAAAACGUGUGAAUGAAC
Calidris pugnax (ruff) is the source of this 448-nucleotide long non-coding RNA. RefSeq lists it as uncharacterized. The transcript has 4 exons. Lineage: Eukaryota; Metazoa; Chordata; Aves; Charadriiformes; Scolopacidae. The record is from RefSeq and is a predicted model, not a curated record.